UUCAUUAUAUAUAUAUAUCGACUUUCACUAUAUAUAUAUCAACUUUCAUUAUAUAUAUAUCAAGUUUCAUUAUAUAUAUAUAUCAACUUUCAUUAUAUAUAUAUCAAGUUUCAUUAUAUAUAUAUCGACUUUCAUUAUAUAUAUAUAUCAACUUUCAUUAUAUAUAUAUCAAAUCUUUUUUUCCUACCGAGCCCCGGAAGGGACAUGUCCGUAUGGCGAAGCGACAACGAAGGACACUCACCCGGACGAGAAUUUUAUUGAGUUUUAUUUUAAAAUCGGCCUGAAACACACAGACAUUCAAGCAGUGCGAUGCGCUAAGAGUCUGCCAUGCAGACCAGCGAUCCUGAUAAUGGUAAGUUUUAUUUCUCCAACAUCCUGCUGUUAUCCUACUAUGAAUACGCUAGCUACAACAGUCCCACAUCAGUAUUAUGAACGUUCCGCCAGCUAACGCGGUCCGGACACCGGAUCAGUGAUUAGAGGUUGGCGUUCAACUAUUGUUUGCCAGCCAGUUAGCCGCUGGUAAGCUAACAAGCUAUGAAACAACUCCUUAUAAAACCGGAGGAAAGCAGCAGCAAUAUUUCAGUCCAAGACCUGUAUUCAGAACCUCCCACGCUGUUACACAAUGACCCAUUAAUCAUAUUACUGAACUAUAUGGUUAUCAUUGAAAUUUCCCUUGAAGAACCAGUGAACUCUUUGCGAACACAUUUUAAUUUAUGUGUUGAUUAUGUUUCGUAUCAGUAAUACAAGUCUAAAAAACUGAUUGAAAUGAUCAAGUUAACACAAUGAAGUAAAGAGUACUGGUAAUCUGCAGCUAUUUUCAUAAUUUCAAGGUGAAAUUCUGAUGUGUGAUUUUCUAGCUUUGCAGAUGUGGAAAUCCAAUGCACUGAUUUCUUAUACACAGAUGCUUUUGGUGUUUUUUGUUGUAAAAUAAAACAAGGCAUUUAUCACUGUUGGAAAUUAUUACAGGUAUUAUUUGUAACACUUUCUAACAUUGUAUGGACAAAGCAAUAAAUCAGUUAAUGGAUAAAAUCAUUUGUAUUACAGAUGCUAUCAACAGCAUGUCUUGUUCAUUUUAUUUAGUUGUCGGCCUUGGAUGAUGAGGUCCAGUUACCAGGAGCACUAGUCUGCAGCUUACUGGUUCCGUCCUGCAGCUCCUCCACGCCGUCCUCCUCUCUACAGACCAAAUCAAGAAAAGGGAACCAGGAAGCUGCUGUGGAUCCUCUGCAGUAUCUGGAGAGGUCAGAGGAACGGUUCUUGGAACAGAUCGGAAGACACCAAGACGUGACCUCUGCCAUGCUCCAGAACAUCCAGAAGAUGAAUGAAAACCUUGGUUGCACUGAUGGGACGCAUGGUGUCGGUGCUGGAGCAACUGUCCCAGAAUUAAACUGCAUUGUUGACUAUUGGCUUUUCUAGAAAAUAAAUCUUUUUUAGUACUUCACCUGUUUUGUAUUUUACUCAUGCACUUUGGAUGAAUGAACAGAAAUUUGUGAUGAGAGAUGCAAAUUUUGUCUAUAAUCUACAGAGACUUUAUUCAGUGUUCAGUGCACACUUUUGUUACACACAUUUUGACAGAUAAGCAGUUGUGCUUUUCAAGCAGAUUUUAGUCAGAAACAUCAGUAGCAUACGUUGUUGUUUUUUUACUGUUACACCAAUCUAGGUAGAUAAACUGCACUACUGCAGCAGACAUAUUAUUGAAAUGUGCUUCUAUUAUGUGUCUACAUACACUGCUCACAAAUAGUUAUUCAACUUUUGGGUGAAAUUGAUGGAAAAUAUAAAAAGUGCAUGCUGUAGUGAUAUAUCAUAAAAGUAGGGUAUUUAACUAGAAACAUGCAAUAGUGAUUUCCUCAUCUCAAAAAAAAUUAUUGAAUCAAAAGCUAACAACAGUGGAGGGUAUGUCACAAUAAAAAUGUCUCAGUUUGGACAGAACAGCA
This is a long non-coding RNA of Acanthochromis polyacanthus (spiny chromis), 1931 nucleotides long. RefSeq lists it as uncharacterized. The record is from RefSeq and is a predicted model, not a curated record. Lineage: Eukaryota; Metazoa; Chordata; Actinopteri; Pomacentridae. The transcript is spliced from 2 exons.